This 272-nucleotide ribosomal RNA is filed under the name uncultured Staphylococcus sp. RNAcentral's name for it is "partial 16S ribosomal RNA". It matches the Rfam family "Bacterial small subunit ribosomal RNA", at positions 90 to 355 of the family's 1533-position model. The record is from RNAcentral. Lineage: Bacteria; Bacillati; Bacillota; Bacilli; Caryophanales; Staphylococcaceae.
CGUUAGCGGCGGACGGGUGAGUAACACGUGGGUAACCUACCUAUAAGACUGGGAUAACUUCGGGAAACCGGAGCUAAUACCGGAUAAUAUUUCGAACCGCAUGGUUCGAUAGUGAAAGAUGGUUUUGCUAUCACUUAUAGAUGGACCUGCGCCGUAUUAGCUAGUUGGUAAGGUAACGGCUUACCAAGGCGACGAUACGUAGCCGACCUGAGAGGGUGAUCGGCCACACUGGAACUGAGACACGGUCCAGACUCCUACGGGAGGCAGCAGCA